CAGUAGCCGCGGUAUACGUAGGGUGCAAGCGUUAAUCGGAAUUACUGGGCGUAAAGCGUGCGCAGGCGGUUCGGAAAGAAAGAUGUGAAAUCCCAGGGCUUAACCUUGGAACUGCAUUUUUAACUCCCGGACUAGAGUAUGUCAGAGGGGGGUGGAAUUCCACGUGUAGCAGUGAAAUGCGUAGAUAUGUGGAGGAACACCGAUGGCGAAGGCAGCCCCCUGGGAUAAUACUGACGCUCAUGCACGAAAGCGUGGGGAGCAAACAGGAUUAGAUACCCCCGUAGUCCUGUCUCUUAUACAC
RNAcentral lists this ribosomal RNA (301 nucleotides) under uncultured bacterium. RNAcentral describes it as "partial 16S ribosomal RNA". It matches the Rfam family "Bacterial small subunit ribosomal RNA", at positions 509 to 810 of the family's 1533-position model. The record is from RNAcentral.